This 253-nucleotide ribosomal RNA is filed under the name uncultured bacterium. RNAcentral's name for it is "partial 16S ribosomal RNA". It matches the Rfam family "Bacterial small subunit ribosomal RNA", at positions 524 to 776 of the family's 1533-position model. The record is from RNAcentral.
UACAGAGGGUGCGAGCGUUGUUCGGAAUUAUUGGGCGUAAAGGGCGCGUAGGCGGUGCGGUAAGUCACCUGUGAAAUCUCCUGGCUCAACUGGGAGCUUGCAGGCGAAACCGCCGUGCUGGAGUGUGGGAGAGGUGCGUGGAAUUCCUGGUGUAGCGGUGAAAUGCGUAGAUAUCGGGAGGAACACCUGUGGCGAAAGCGGCGCACUGGACCAUAACUGACGCUGAUGCGCGAAAGCUAGGGGAGCAAACAGG